This is a non-coding RNA of Macaca mulatta (Rhesus monkey), 3104 nucleotides long. NCBI's taxonomy places the organism in Eukaryota, Metazoa, Chordata, Mammalia, Primates, Cercopithecidae. The record is from RefSeq and is a predicted model, not a curated record.
AAAAACAAACAAACAAAAAGCCAACUAACCAUUUAAAGUGAGACUUUAACAUCAGAAAAAGGAUGGACUUGUUGCAGUUGCUGUAGCAUUCAAAGUCCAGGUGAUCAUUUCAAACCAAGCAUCAGCAGCAAUUAAAAACGUUCACAUGGUAUCUGUAGUUUAAUCAUGGGCCAACAUCAACAUUUGAAUAAAACAGCAGAGUCAGCAUCUUCAGAGAAAAAGAAAACAAGACGCUGCAAUGGAUUCAAGAUGUUCUUGGCAGCCCUGUCAUUCAGCUAUAUUGCUAGAGCACUAGGUGGAAUCAUUAUGAAAAUGUCCAUCACUCAAAUAGAAAGGAGAUUUGACAUAUCUUCUUCUCUUGCUGGUUUAAUUGAUGGAAGUUUUGAAAUUGGAAAUUUGCUUGUGAUUGUAUUUGUAAGUUACUUUGGAUCUAAACUACACAGACCAAAGUUAAUCGGAAUUGGUUGUCUCAUUAUGGGAACUGGAAGUAUUUUGACAGCUUUACCACAUUUCUUCAUGGGAUAUUACAGGUAUUCUAAAGAAACCCAUAUUAAUCCAUCAGAAAAUUCAACAUCAAGUUUAUCAACCUGUUUAAUUAAUCAAAUCUUAUCAUUCAAUAGAACAUCACCUGAGAUAGUAGAAAAAGAUUGUGUGAAGGAAUCUGGGUCACACAUGUGGAUGUAUGUCUUCAUGGGUAAUAUGCUUCGUGGUAUAGGGGAAACCCCCAUAGGACCAUUGGGGAUUUCGUACAUUGAUGAUUUUGCAAAAGAAGGACAUUCUUCCUUGUAUGUAGGUAGUUUGAAUGCAAUAGGAAUGAUUGGUCCAGUCAUUGGCUUUAUCCUGGGAUCUCUGUUUGCUAAAAUGUAUGUGGAUAUUGGAUAUGUAGAUCUGAGCACUAUCAGGAUAACUCCUAAGGAUUCUCGUUGGGUUGGAGCUUGGUGGCUUGGUUUCCUUGUGUCUGGACUAUUUUCCAUUACUUCUUCCAUACCAUUUUUUUUCUUGCCCCAAAAUCCAAAUAAACCACAAAAAGAAAGAAAAGUUUCACUCUCUUUGCAUGUGCUGAAAACAAAUGAUGAAAGAAGUCAAACAGCUAAUUUGACCAACCGAGGAAAAAAAGUUACAAAAAAUGUGACUGGUUUUUUCCAGUCUUUGAAAAGCCUCCUUACCAAUCCCCUGUAUGUUAUGUUCGUGCUUUUGACAUUGUUACAAAUAAGCAGCUUUAUCGGUUCUUUUACUUACAUCUUUAAAUAUAUGGAGCAACAGUAUGGUCAGUCUGCAUCUCAGGCUAACUUUUUGCUGGGAGUCAUAACCAUUCCUACGAUUGCAACUGGAAUGUUUUUAGGAGGAUAUAUCAUUAAAAAAUUCAAAUUGUCUUUAGUUGGAAUUGCCAAAUUUUCACUUCUUACUUCGAUAAUAUCCUUCUUGUUUCAACUUAUUUAUUUCCCUCUAAUCUGUGAAAGCAAAUCAGUUGCCGGCCUAACCUUGACCUAUGAUGGAAAUAAUUCAGUGGCAUCUCAUAUAGAUGUACCACUUUCUUAUUGCAACUCAGAGUGCAAUUGUGAUGAAAGUCAAUGGGAACCAGUCUGUGGGAACAAUGGAAUAACUUACCUGUCACCUUGUCUAGCAGGAUGCAAAUCCUUAAGUGGUAUUAAGAAGUCUACAGUGUUUUAUAACUGUAGCUGUGUGGAAGUAACUGGUCUCCAGAACAGAAAUUACUCAGCGCACUUGGGUGAAUGCCCAAGAGAUGAUGCCUGUACAAGGAAAUUUUACAUCUAUGUUGCAAUUCAAGUCAUAAACUCUUGGUUCUCUGCAACAGGAGGUACCGUAUGUAUCUUGCUGAUUGUGAAGACUUCCAAUACUGUGUUGAAUAGGAGUGGUGAAAAUGGGCAUCCUCAUCUUGGAUCCAUUCUUAGAAGUAAUGCUUACAAUUUUCCCCCAUUUGGAUUGUUCAACCUGAAUUGAAAGCACUUGCAAUGGGUUUUCAUUCAAUGGUUAUAAGAACACUAGGAGGAAUUCUAGCUCCAAUAUAUUUUGGGGCUCUGAUUGAUAAAACAUGUAUGAAGUGGUCCACCACCAGCUGUGGAGCACGAGGGGCUUGUAGGAUAUAUAAUUCCGUAUUUUUGGGAAGGGUCUACUUGGGCUUAUCUACGGCUUUAAGAUUCUCAGCACUUGUUUUAUAUAUCGUAUUCAUUUUUGUUAUGAAGAAAAAAUUUCAAGGAAAGGAUACCAAGGCAUCAGACAAUGAAAGAAAAGUAAUGGAUGAAGCAAACUUAGAAUUCUUAAAUAACGGUGAACAUUUUGUACCUUCUGCUGGAGCAGACAGUAAAACAUGUAAUUUGGACAUGCAAGACAAUGCUGCUGCCAACUAACAUUGUAUUGAUUCAUUAAGAUGUUAUUUUUGAGGUGUUCCUGGUCUUUUCACUGACAAUUCCAACAUUCUUUACUUGUAGUGGACCAAUGGAAAAGACUAUGAAUUUAAAUAAACUAUAAAAAAUGGGAGUUCCUAUGGUUAGGAUAUAGCUAUGCCUUUAUGGUUAAGCUUAGAAUAUAUGAUCCAUAAAAAUUUAAAGUGAGAAGCAUGGUUAGUAUGUAAUACAAUAAAAAGUAAUUGUUUUGUAGUUGUAACUGCUAAUAAAACCAGUGACUAGAAUAUAAGGGAGGUAAAAGGGAGAAGAUAGAAUAAUAGCCUAAAUAAAGAGAAAAACCUGAUGCCUAAAAAAAAAAAAAAAAGAAAGAAAGAAAGAAAGAAACACUUUAGAUGUAUUACUUUGGCCAAAAUCUAGCCUGGAUUUAUGCUAUAAUGAUAUAUACUUUUCAUGUUAAGUUGUAUAUUUUUCAGAAAUUACAAAUAUUAUUAAUUUUAAAAUUUGAAUUUGUGUUUGACUAACAACCUCGAUGGAUCUUCUUCCAACCUCCCAUUAAAAUCCUGCAGGAGAAUUGUGAGACAAUAUAUUAUAAUACGUGUUAAGUUUCUACUGGACCCAUGGAAGUAGAUAAGAAAAACUGACUUUAACUUGAGAAAGCAAAACCUAUUGAUAAGAUAUGUCUUCAUUGCAUCUGUCUGUUCUCUGGGAGAAGGAAAAUAUGUGUUACUCUCUUGCAUA